GUUCGGUUGUUCUUGUGUCGGACAUCUGCAAAGAUUUUUUCAAGAAAACUCGUAGAAAGCGGCGGAUUGCUUGCGACGACCAGUCAAUCGACGAUGCUAAGACAUGACGCUGCGCGAGCUCUGGCUGCGAGUUCUCGCUGCUCUGUUCCUGACGGAUCUGGCGGCGAGCGAAUGUCCCACCAACACCUGGCUGGAGACGGGCGACGGCAACUGCUAUCUGCCGCUACUCAGCCCGCCGUUCGACAUGCCGACCGUCUACAAUGCAACCGAGAUGUGCAAAAUCAUCGAGGAAACAGCCUAUCUCGCAGAAAUCUACAACGAACAUGACCAAGCUGUGGUGAACGGACUGACCCCGUGGCACUCCUGGCUGGGUCUGCGGCGCGACUCCCUGGAAAGCCCGUUCUACUGGCCCUCCGGGCACCCCGUGACCUACACCAACUGGCGUAGUGGCCACCCAGUGAACGAUACCGCUCUCUUCUGUGCGUUCCUAUAUGAGGAUGGCAAAUGGCUCAGUUAUAAGUGUGAUUAUGGAUAUGCCAUGGUAAUUUGUCAAACCAAAGCGGUGCAUGUAUAAAUACCUAACCUACAUGUGUUUUUCAAGUCAGAACGAUGAGCCGUCAAGAACUUUCUGCGGCUUAGAGAAAUAAAAGCAAUGCAAAGAUGCA
Long non-coding RNA from Amphibalanus amphitrite, 665 nucleotides. RefSeq lists it as uncharacterized. NCBI's taxonomy places the organism in Eukaryota, Metazoa, Arthropoda, Thecostraca, Balanomorpha, Balanidae. The record is from RefSeq and is a predicted model, not a curated record. The transcript has 4 exons.